UUGUAUCCUAUUAUUCCCACAUGAAAAAACACUCCUACAUGAAAUAGUUAAGUUAAAUACCAUCUGAUCUCUCAUAUCACGUUACUUUCAGUACCCUUACUGGGUGCUCGUUUGGAAAUGAUGAGUCAUUUUGUUUCCUUUAUUGUUUCUGGAGGACAUGUUAAGACAUCCAUACAUCUCAUGAAAGAGCUGUCCAGAGUCUAGACAACACAGAAAGUGGUCAUUUUGGUCUUUUGGAACUUUAAAUAGUUCCCAUCACUUCCUGGAUUUACUUUGGCUACAGACAUCUUCUCCAUAUAAACCCAAGAAAAGAUGGCCACUAAUACUGAAUAAUACAUGAUUCCACAUACCUCCAGGCUCAUAAAUAUUCAGGGUGCUCAGACUACUUCUAAAGUAUAUAUAUUUAGUCAAGAGAACAACAGCUUCAGUGCUGCCCAGAAAAGCUAUGCUCCACGCUUGUGCCUCAUUCACAAUGGCUUCCUGGUGAAGAAUCCAGAUUUUAUUGGAGGAGGUAAUGAAGUCACCUCAAGUAUUUCAUUUUCUAGCACUCUUGGUCAAUUGUCGACAAAAGUAUUGUGUGGGCUCUCUCUGCCGAAAAGAAGCUGACUCAGCUGCUUCCUGGACUGUGAACAAAGUGGCAGAAAUUUGGGCAGUCAACUUGGACUAUGAGAUGACCUUGGGGAUAGAAGCCACAAACUAGGAGGUAGAAGAGAAAGAUGGAAGGAACAUGAGCCCUGAGUACUCUGGAACCUGCAAAGUUUUGCCUACAUACUCCAGAUUCCCUUUGCCUGAGAGAAAAGUAAAAUUUUAUUUUGUUUAAGCCUUUUAUAUUUUGUGUUUUUUUCUGUAAUGUAGAGCACAUCAAAUUCUAAGUGAUAGAAGUAACAUUUUCGGUUCCAUGGAAUACUAUUUUUGUUCUAGGUGUUUUGAUCAAAAAGUAAAUAAACAAACAAUCCCCCAAAACA
This 965-nucleotide long non-coding RNA is filed under the name Felis catus (domestic cat). RNAcentral's name for it is "lncRNA (ENSFCAG00000043040.2)". Lineage: Eukaryota; Metazoa; Chordata; Mammalia; Carnivora; Felidae. The record is from RNAcentral.